UAAAAUAUGGUACAGUAAGCAUAAAUAAAAAUAUGAAGCAACACUAAAAAAUAGCAACAAAUGUCCUAUAUUUUUGCACCAAGCAUCAAAUUAAAUUAUGCUACAUAAAUAAUUAGCUACAAAACAUGAAAUAGCAGUAAAAAAAAAAUAAAAACAGCAACAUAUUCAAUGAAUAAAAACAUUAACUUGCAAGACAGCAAAACAACAAACAUGCAUAAAAAAACUGGCCCAACAAGGGUAGAAAAAUAGCAAGCAGCACUGCAAAAUCUGGCACAAGAAGCACUGCAAAACAACAUAAAAAAUAGAAACAAACAGGAUGAUUUUUUUUACUAAAACAGAGAAGAAAGAAAAAAAACCAAGCAUGUGUUUGUGUUUAUGGGGAGUACUCUUGAAAGUAACAUCAUUCUUACCAACCAUAAAUUUUUCAAAAACAUAAGCACAUCCUUCUUCAAGUUGAUCCUUAAAUUGGGAGAUCAAAUUUUUCCUAACAGUUGCAUGAAUUGAGCCACCCUAUAUAAAAAUAAAGAGAUUCAUAGAAACUUAGAUUAAUUGAAACUAAAUUAGCAAAGAAAGCAUAAGAAUGAAAUUGUAAAUCUGCCCUUUCAUCAAGAAAAAUCAUAUGCAUAAAAGAUGUUCACCUGAGUUAAUCAUCUUUGUGUCAAGAGAGAUGAUGGUUGAUUUGUUGGUGAGAGAUGGGUAGAUUGGUGGUAUUUAUAGAGAAACAUGAAUAUAGUAUGUUGGACACAUGGAAUGUUGCAUGGAAGAUACAGGGAGAAAUCUUCCAUAGAAGACACUUGGAAGAUAGCAUGAAAGGAAUUUACAGGUCUUCUGAUCAUAAAUAGAAUUUUUAGAUUUUUANN
Molecule: long non-coding RNA, 860 nt
Filed under: Trifolium pratense (red clover)
Lineage: Eukaryota; Viridiplantae; Streptophyta; Magnoliopsida; Fabales; Fabaceae
Description: long non-coding RNA (TPRA_LNC011172)
Source: RNAcentral